Molecule: ribosomal RNA, 433 nt
Filed under: uncultured bacterium
Lineage: Bacteria
Description: partial 16S ribosomal RNA
Rfam family: Bacterial small subunit ribosomal RNA
Source: RNAcentral
AACGAACGCUGGCAGCAGGCCUAACACAUGCAAGUCGAGCGAGGACUUCGGUUCUAGCGGCGGACGGGUGAGUAACGCGUGGGAAUGUGCCCUUCUCUACGGAAUAGCCCUGGGAAACUGGGAGUAAUACCGUAUACGCCCUAUUGGGGAAAGAUUUAUCGGAGAAGGAUCAGCCCGCGUUGGAUUAGGUAGUUGGUGGGGUAAUGGCCUACCAAGCCGACGAUCCAUAGCUGGUUUGAGAGGAUGAUCAGCCACACUGGGACUGAGACACGGCCCAGACUCCUACGGGAGGCAGCAGUGGGGAAUCUUAGACAAUGGGGGCAACCCUGAUCGAGCCAUGCCGCGUGAGUGAUGAAGGCCUUAGGGUUGUAAAGCUCUUUCAGCUGGGAAGAUAAUGACGGUACCAGCAGAAGAAGCCCCGGCUAACUCCGUG